Molecule: ribosomal RNA, 497 nt
Filed under: uncultured bacterium
Lineage: Bacteria
Description: partial 16S ribosomal RNA
Rfam family: Bacterial small subunit ribosomal RNA
Source: RNAcentral
GAUGAACGCUGGCGGCGUGCCUAAUACAUGCAAGUCGAGCGAACAGAUAAGGAGCUUGCUCCUUUGACGUUAGCGGCGGACGGGUGAGUAACACGUGGGUAACCUACCUAUAAGACUGGGAUAACUUCGGGAAACCGGAGCUAAUACCGGAUAAUAUUUCGAACCGCAUGGUUCGAUAGUGGAAGAUGGUUUUGCUAUCACUUAUAGAUGGACCCGCGCCGUAUUAGCUAGUUGGUAAGGUAACGGCUUACCAAGGCGACGAUACGUAGCCGACCUGAGAGGGUGAUCGGCCACACUGGAACUGAGACACGGCCCAGACUCCUACGGGAGGCAGCAGUAGGGAAUCUUCCGCAAUGGGCGAAAGCCUGACGGAGCAACGCCGCGUGAGUGAUGAAGGUCUUCGGAUCGUAAAACUCUGUUAUUAGGGAAGAACAUACGUGUAAGUAACUGUGCACGUCUUGACGGUACCUAAUCAGAAAGCCACGGCUAACUACGUG